RNAcentral lists this ribosomal RNA (292 nucleotides) under uncultured bacterium. RNAcentral's name for it is "partial 16S ribosomal RNA". It matches the Rfam family "Bacterial small subunit ribosomal RNA", at positions 505 to 796 of the family's 1533-position model. The record is from RNAcentral.
GUGUCAGCAGCCGCGGUAAUACGUAGGGUCCAAGCGUUAUCCGGAAUCACUGGGCGUAAAGCGUGCGUAGGUGGAUGCUUAAGUGAGUUGUUAAAUCGUGGGGCUCAACCCUGUCGAUGCAAUUCAUACUGGGCGUCUAGAGGACGGCAGAGGCAAGUGGAAUUGGUAGUGUAGCAGUGAAAUGCGUAGAUAUUACCAGGAACACCAAUGGCGAAGGCAGCUUGCUGGGCCACUCCUGACACUGAGGUACGAAAGCGUGGGGAGCGAACAGGAUUAGAUACCCUGGUAGUCC